Molecule: ribosomal RNA, 446 nt
Filed under: uncultured bacterium
Lineage: Bacteria
Description: bacterial SSU rRNA
Rfam family: Bacterial small subunit ribosomal RNA
Source: RNAcentral
CGCCAGACUCCUACGGGAGGCAGCAGUGGGGAAUAUUGCACAAUGGGCGAAAGCCUGAUGCAGCGACGCCGCGUGAGUGAAGAAGUAUUUCGGUAUGUAAAGCUCUAUCAGCAGGGAAGAAAAUGGCGGUACCUGACUAAGAAGCCCCGGCUAACUACGUGCCAGCAGCCGCGGUAAUACGUAGGGGGCAAGCGUUAUCCGGAAUUACUGGGUGUAAAGGGAGCGUAGACGGUGAAGUAAGUCUGGAGUGAAAGGCGGGAGCCCAACCCCCGGACUGCUCUGGAAACUAUUUGACUGGAGUGCAGGAGAGGUAAGCGGAAUUCCUAGUGUAGCGGUGAAAUGCGUAGAUAUUAGGAGGAACACCAGUGGCGAAGGCGGCUUACUGGACUGUAACUGACGUUGAGGCUCGAAAGCGUGGGGAGCAAACAGGAUUAGAUACCCCUGUA